GUUUGUCUUGCUUCAAAGUAAAUCUCUUUACUUCUAAAUAAUUUGCUUAUUUUUGCUUUCUUUCGAGUCUUCCAAUGAUGGUAUGCUUCGCUUCUUCCUGAGGAUAACUAUUAGCGUGAUGUCAAACAUCGCUGAUAAUAGAAGUUCAGUGCUUAAAUGAACUGCUGAGGCAGACUGAGAACUCGGUUCACGAAUUGCAAGAGGAACUCAAAAUGAAAGAUCUGCUAAACUUGGAAAGUACACCAACUGCAUCUUCCACAAAACAGGAAUCAAAAAAUCUACAAAAUUUGACAGCAAAGAGCUAGGCAAUGAGAGCGCAAAGAGCUCUGAUGCAAUAAGUAUAAUUGACGCAAAGCUUGAGGCUGAACUAGAGAGGUUGGAACUAAACAUGAAAGAAUCUAGCUUGGUGAGGAUUUAUGAAUUCUUUCAGAUAACUUUAUUAGAUCUGAUGGCACACUGCAACCGAGUUUAAAAGAAGCUCUGAUCAUAAGACGUAUUUUAUCUGUCCAAGACAAUAAUGACAUUAACUAGAUUGAUCUGUUCUUAUUAUUGCUCACAGCAGGAUUCUAACUUUCAAGAUUUUGGUGUAGAAAAGGUCAAUGAGCAACCUUACUAUUUAUCUGAAUCAGACAACGAUUCAAAUGGAGCCUCUCUGCUCACACUCAAACAGGAAUCUGUGCUGUUUCACCUCGGCAGCAGAGCUUGCGGCUUCACAAGGUAAUUAAAUCAAGGCUCAAAGCACGCAUUGUAGAACUAGAGGCAGCAGUUGAAAGUACCCAGAAGAGGCUGCAUGCCAUUGCCUUGAAAUCCAAUAGCCUGAUCCCUCAAAGGGACUUGUAUAGGAAAGAGAAAUCUCCAUCUACAGAAGUUUGCAUGAAUUUCACAGAUCAAGGUAAUGACAUGGAUGAAGCUUCAUACAGUAGAGCGAAGUUUAUUGGGAAAGUACUAAGAGUGUGGAAAUGGGGAGAGUAAUAAGAGCGUGGAAACAGAUGAACAAACUACUCCACUAGACAUUGAACAUGACAUUCAUAAAUGAGAAACAAAUGCAUUCUAUGGAAAAGCAGACAAUUAAGUGGGAAGAGUCAGCUCGAGAAUCUUUAUUCUUUUUCAAGAAUUUGAUGCCUUAGAAGAUCAGGGCUUGGAAAGAACAAGUUAAAUAUAAACGCUACACAGCACAUCAUUUUUUAUAGCAGGCCAUACAAAUAAUGGAAGUUCCUACUUCUCAUGCCUUCCACAAUUACAAUAAUGCUUUCCAUCAUUAUGGCAUUGAUAGUCCCAACUAUGAUCAUCAUCAUCUUCUAAAGCCGCAACUAAAAUUAGCAGCAGAUAUUGCAUGCAAUUUCU
This 1344-nucleotide unclassified non-coding RNA is filed under the name Hevea brasiliensis (rubber tree). The record is from RNAcentral. Lineage: Eukaryota; Viridiplantae; Streptophyta; Magnoliopsida; Malpighiales; Euphorbiaceae.